RNAcentral lists this ribosomal RNA (253 nucleotides) under uncultured bacterium. RNAcentral describes it as "partial 16S ribosomal RNA". It matches the Rfam family "Bacterial small subunit ribosomal RNA", at positions 524 to 776 of the family's 1533-position model. The record is from RNAcentral.
UACAGGGGGGGCAAGCGUUGUUCGGAAUUACUGGGCGUAAAGGGCUCGUAGGCGGCCAACUAAGUCCGACGUGAAAUCCCAAAGCUUAACUUUGGAACUGCGUCGGAUACUGGAUGGCUUGAAUUCGGGAGAGGGAUGCAGAAUUCCAGGUGUAGCGGUGAAAUGCGUAGAUAUCAAGAGGAACACCUGAGGUGAAGACGGGUUGCUGGGCCAACACUGACGCUGAGGCGCGAAAGCCAGGGGAGCAAACGGG